This 468-nucleotide ribosomal RNA is filed under the name uncultured bacterium. RNAcentral's name for it is "bacterial SSU rRNA". It matches the Rfam family "Bacterial small subunit ribosomal RNA", at positions 335 to 795 of the family's 1533-position model. The record is from RNAcentral.
ACUCCUACGGGAGGCAGCAGUGGGGAAUUUUGGACAAUGGGGGCAACCCUGAUCCAGCCAUGCCGCGUGCGGGAAGAAGGCCUUCGGGUUGUAAACCGCUUUUAGCCGGGAAGAAAAGGCAGGGGCUAACACUCUCUGUUCUUGACGGUACCGGCGGAAUAAGCACCGGCUAACUACGUGCCAGCAGCCGCGGUAAUACGUAGGGUGCGAGCGUUAAUCGGAAUUACUGGGCGUAAAGCGUGCGCAGGCGGUUCGUUAAGUCUGAUGUGAAAGCCCCGGGCUCAACCUGGGAAUGGCAUUGGAUACUGGCGGGCUUGAGUGUGGCAGAGGGGGGUGGAAUUCCGCGUGUAGCAGUGAAAUGCGUAGAGAUGCGGAGGAACACCGAUGGCGAAGGCAGCCCCCUGGGCUGACACUGACGCUCAGGCACGAAAGCGUGGGGAGCAAACAGGAUUAGAUACCCUGGUAGUC